GGAAGUUAAGAAACGGUUUCUUAAUUUUUUUAACUAAAAAAGCUAAGAACUGGUUCUUAAAUAAGGACUUUAAGAACCGGUUCUUAGUUUUUUUAGUUAAAAGUUAAGAAACAGUUUCUUAACUUCC
Non-coding RNA from Brassica napus (rape), 127 nucleotides. The record is from Rfam. Lineage: Eukaryota; Viridiplantae; Streptophyta; Magnoliopsida; Brassicales; Brassicaceae.